CCCUUAGAUGUUCUGGGCCGCACGCGCGCUACACUGACAGAGCCAACGAGUUCUUCACCUUGGCCGGAAGGUCUGGGUAAUCUUGUUAAACUCUGUCGUGCUGGGGAUAGAGCAUUGCAAUUAUUGCUCUUCAACGAGGAAUGCCUAGUAAGCGCGUGUCGUCAGCACGCGUUGAUUACGUCCCUGCCCUUUGUACACACCGCCCGUCGCUACUACCGAUUGAAUGGCUCAGUGAGGCCUUCGGACUGGCUCAGGGAGGUUGGCAACGACCACCCCGAGCCGGAAAGUUCGUCAAACUCGGUCAUUUAGAGGAAGUAAAAGUCGUAACA
RNAcentral lists this ribosomal RNA (329 nucleotides) under uncultured eukaryote. Its description in RNAcentral is "partial 18S ribosomal RNA". It matches the Rfam family "Eukaryotic small subunit ribosomal RNA", at positions 1470 to 1796 of the family's 1831-position model. The record is from RNAcentral.